AUGAACCUGUAGCCGGAAACUACUAUCCAUUAAGUUUCUCAGCACUAGUUCACAUGAAAAAUGGUUUGAACUGUUUAAGGUUCUUAUUGACGCCGGUAUGAUGUUGUUUUUCAGCUAAAUCUUGGGAUGUUUACAUCGGAUAACAAACCUGAAUUCUAUCUUGGUUGAUCGCGCCAUUGGAGGAUCCAGCAUUAAAGAUGGAGAAGUAGAGCUGAUGCUUCACAGAUUCGAGGAAAUUAUUAUGUGAGCAUCAACCGAGUAGGGGAUGGAGCUCUCUGGCGCAGGACAACUGGACAAGAAGUUUACUCUCCACUUGUUCUGGCUUUUACUCAUGAAAAAUUGGAGGACUGGACUGCAUCUCAUGUGACAAAAACACCUUCCAUGGAUCCAAAUUACAACUUGCCUCUCAAUGUUGCUCUAAUUACUCUUCAGGUGACU
Molecule: long non-coding RNA, 438 nt
Organism: Malus domestica (apple)
Lineage: Eukaryota; Viridiplantae; Streptophyta; Magnoliopsida; Rosales; Rosaceae
Source: RefSeq, a predicted model, not a curated record